GCUUGCUUAGGCAGCUUCAGACUCAGUAUGACAACAGGAAGCCUAAAACUGAGCUCUUUUUUAAAAUGUAUUUAUUUUAACUGGAAUCCAAUGUGUUUAAACUAUUUUAAAGGUGGGAGGUGAAUAAGUCACGUAAGUGUAUUUUGGUGGGGGCGUGAUGUGAAAUUUUAUCAACAAAAAAGAUGUAAGGAAUUUCUCCCACAUUGCCAGGUCCCUACAAGGGAGCAGAGGUUUCAUCAUUUAAAGGCUCAGCUUUAGGUGUGAGGUGAUCAGCUUAUAAGAAGAGCAACACAAUCGAAAAUACUGAAGCAGGUGGAGUUGCACAGAAUGAGUAAGUGGUCAAGAGUCGAGUGCGGAGGAGGUCUGUCUAGAGGCUGAGCAUGAGCAGAAGAAAAAUGUCCAGCAGCAGCCCAGAUCAAAGAUUUUACCAAAUGGGCGCACACUUUUGAUGAACACAUCAGAGAGACAGGACCAACUCCAAAUCAAGAACUCAAAAAGACAGUUAUGCAUCUUCGAGGAUGUACUGCAAAGAGGAGAUUUCUAGGGAUUUGGAAGGAUUUCAAGAUUAUAACAUGAUUACAGCAGACAGCCACGGAUCAAACAUGUUGGAAAUUCUGAUGUAUAUCUAAUGUGCUCCCUGCUAGAAAAGCCUCUUAAUGCUGCAGUUUGAAAAGUAUGAACACAAAUUCACUCAUCACUCAUCUAUCAUUCAUAUUCAGUCUCAGUGUGUGACUACAUCUGUAUAUUUCGCAUGCUGUCACCAUGUCGGA
Archocentrus centrarchus (flier cichlid) is the source of this 770-nucleotide long non-coding RNA. RefSeq lists it as uncharacterized. The transcript has 4 exons. The record is from RefSeq and is a predicted model, not a curated record. NCBI's taxonomy places the organism in Eukaryota, Metazoa, Chordata, Actinopteri, Cichliformes, Cichlidae.